AACCCAUGGUGAAGGCACUUUUACAAUAGAUCCUUGUAUCUCUCUUAUGCAUCGUAAAGUGUUUCUAAGUCUAUCUGCACAAAAGAAGAGAUAUCAUUACAUAACUU
This 107-nucleotide small nucleolar RNA is filed under the name Gossypium arboreum. RNAcentral describes it as "Plant small nucleolar RNA R71". It matches the Rfam family "Plant small nucleolar RNA R71". Rfam says of the family: R71 is a member of the C/D box family of snoRNAs containing the C (UGAUGA) and D (CUGA) box motifs. Multiple nearly identical copies of this snoRNA have been identified in Arabidopsis, and it is thought to function as a 2'-O-ribose methylation guide for 18S ribosomal RNA. Lineage: Eukaryota; Viridiplantae; Streptophyta; Magnoliopsida; Malvales; Malvaceae. The record is from Rfam by way of RNAcentral.